Molecule: non-coding RNA, 122 nt
Filed under: uncultured Phytobacter sp.
Lineage: Bacteria; Pseudomonadati; Pseudomonadota; Gammaproteobacteria; Enterobacterales; Enterobacteriaceae
Description: Pseudoknot of the regulatory region of the repBA gene
Rfam family: Pseudoknot of the regulatory region of the repBA gene
Source: RNAcentral
AACCCCCUGAAAUCUGUCUCGAAACUUGGCGGAAUCAGCAGAAAUCAGGGGGUAAUAAAGCAGGCGCUUUGCCUGUGAAGGAUUAUAACGCAUGCACCAUAUAACACAAUACCGGACCGCCA